RNAcentral lists this ribosomal RNA (484 nucleotides) under uncultured bacterium. Its description in RNAcentral is "partial 16S ribosomal RNA". It matches the Rfam family "Bacterial small subunit ribosomal RNA", at positions 30 to 507 of the family's 1533-position model. The record is from RNAcentral.
AUUGAACGCUGGCGGCAGGCCUAACACAUGCAAGUCGAGCGGAUGAAGGGAGCUUUCUCCUGGAUUCAGCUGCGGACGGGUGAGUAAUGCCUAGGAAUCUGCCUGGUAGUGGGGGAUAACGUCCGGAAACGGGCGCUAAUACCGCAUACGUCCUGAUGUAGAAAGUGGGGGAUCUUCGGACCUCACGCUAUCAGAUGAGCCUAGGUCGGAUUAGCUAGUUGGUGGGGUAAAGGCCUACCAAGGCGACGAUCCGUAACUGGUCUGAGAGGAUGAUCAGUCACACUGGAACUGAGACACGGUCCAGACUCCUACGGGAGGCAGCAGUGGGGAAUAUUGGACAAUGGGCGAAAGCCUGAUCCAGCCAUGCCGCGUGUGUGAAGAAGGUCUUCGGAUUGUAAAGCACUUUAAGUUGGGAGGAAGGGCAGUAAGUUAAUACCUUGCUGUUUUGACGUUACCAACAGAAUAAGCACCGGCUAACUUCGUG